This 380-nucleotide ribosomal RNA is filed under the name uncultured eukaryote. RNAcentral's name for it is "partial 18S ribosomal RNA". It matches the Rfam family "Eukaryotic small subunit ribosomal RNA", at positions 592 to 976 of the family's 1831-position model. The record is from RNAcentral.
CAAUAGCGUAUAUUAAAGUUGUUGCGGUUAAAAAGCUCGUAGUUGGAUUUCUGCUGAGGACGACCGGUCCGCCCUUCGGGUGAGUAUCUGGUUUGGCCUUGGCAUCUUCUUGGUGAACGUAUCUGCACUUGACUGUGUGGUGCGGUACCCAGGACUUUUACUUUGAGGAAAUUAGAGUGUUUCAAGCAGGCAUACGCCUUGAAUACAUUAGCAUGGAAUAAUAAGAUAGGACCUCGGUUCUAUUUUGUUGGUUUCUAGAGCUGAGGUAAUGAUUAAUAGGGAUAGUUGGGGGCAUUCGUAUUUAACUGUCAGAGGUGAAAUUCUUGGAUUUAUGAAAGACGAACUUCUGCGAAAGCAUUUGCCAAGGAUGUUUUCAUUAA